UACAGAGGGUGCAAGCGUUGUUCGGAAUUAUUGGGCGUAAAGCGCGUGUAGGCGGCUUUGCAAGUCGGGUGUGAAAGCCCUCGGCUCAACCGAGGAAGUGCGCCCGAAACUGCAGAGCUUGAGUACCGGAGAGGAUGGCGGAAUUCCCCAAGUAGAGGUGAAAUUCGUAGAUAUGGGGAGGAACACCGGUGGCGAAGGCGGCCAUCUGGACGGAUACUGACGCUGAGGAGCGAAAGCGUGGGGAGCGAACAGG
RNAcentral lists this ribosomal RNA (253 nucleotides) under uncultured bacterium. RNAcentral describes it as "partial 16S ribosomal RNA". It matches the Rfam family "Bacterial small subunit ribosomal RNA", at positions 524 to 776 of the family's 1533-position model. The record is from RNAcentral.